This 116-nucleotide ribosomal RNA is filed under the name Pteropus alecto (black flying fox). Lineage: Eukaryota; Metazoa; Chordata; Mammalia; Chiroptera; Pteropodidae. The record is from RNAcentral.
GUCUACAAUCAUGCCACCCUGAACAAGCCUGAUCCCGUCUGAUGGAAGCUAAGUAGUGUCAGGCCUGGUUAGUAUUUGGAUGGGAGACCACCUAGGAAGACCAGGUGCUGUAGGCA